Molecule: ribosomal RNA, 245 nt
Filed under: uncultured Mucilaginibacter sp.
Lineage: Bacteria; Pseudomonadati; Bacteroidota; Sphingobacteriia; Sphingobacteriales; Sphingobacteriaceae
Description: partial 16S ribosomal RNA
Rfam family: Bacterial small subunit ribosomal RNA
Source: RNAcentral
UACGGAGGAUCCAAGCGUUAUCCGGAUUUAUUGGGUUUAAAGGGUGCGUAGGCGGCCUGUUAAGUCAGGGGUGAAAGACGGUAGCUUAACUAUCGCAGUGCCCUUGAUACUGAUGGGCUUGAAUGUACUUGAGGUAGGCGGAAUGUGACAAGUAGCGGUGAAAUGCAUAGAUAUGUCACAGAACACCAAUUGCGAAGGCAGCUUACUAAAGUAUGAUUGACGCUGAGGCACGAAAGCGUGGGGAU